This is a long non-coding RNA of Tyto alba (common barn owl), 3544 nucleotides long. RefSeq lists it as uncharacterized. Lineage: Eukaryota; Metazoa; Chordata; Aves; Strigiformes; Tytonidae. The transcript is spliced from 2 exons. The record is from RefSeq and is a predicted model, not a curated record.
GCGCGCCUCUCCUUCCGUCCUUCUGCGGUGUUCAGCGCGGGAACCGAUGGAAAAAGCCUACCGCUCCGCGGCGAGCAAGGGGGAGGAAGGCAGGACUAUGUGGUGCGCCUCCGCGCCGGCUGCCUCCGCGCCGGGCGAAGCUGCGUCACGUGAUCGGAGCAGCUGAGGACGAACGCACCCCCCGCUCCUUCGGGGGGGGGGGGGGGGGGGGGGAAGAAGAAGAGCUUAACCGCCAACAAAGCCGGGAGUCGUCACGCAGGUGGCCACGUGGGAAGGAGGGCGCUCAUUGGCUUAGCGGCGAGUUGUUCACGUGCACUACAUUACUCAGACUGAUGUGAGCAUUAAUGGAUGGCCUACAUAGCCUCACAGCUGUAAAGGGCAGUGUCACCUUGGAAAGUUUUUAAAGUGCAGUUUCACAUGUUUUAUCUGAUCUAAAUCAACUCGCUGCUAGGAAAGAAGGCAGCCAUCUUCGCCCACCCUAUUCCUGGUUAUGCAGUUCCAUCAGGGGCUCCAGCCCUCAGUGAGACAGCUCAGCCAGCUAACCCAGCAGGAAACUCAUAGGGGUCAACGGUUUUCUGAUGGUUUUAGUCCCUUCAUCAUUUCGCUCAGGUCAUACAAGCAUCAGCCAGCACUGGUGAGCUGGGAGGAUCCGUACCUGUGUGCUUCCUCACUGUGUCGGAGGUAUCCAGCUUCAAACUGUUGCUUUUCCACGUUGCCAACCUCACAGCAUGCCAUCAGAUCUGAGAGCUGCAGUGGGUCCUUGCUUGUUCAAACAUCAUCAUCCUGCAGGUCAGGUUGCUCUCGGCUACUUCUGCAAAAGGCUCCACUAUUUUCCAGUUAGGGACUCAGUAGUAUUUGUGUAAAGCCACGACCUUCACUGAGUUUGCUUAGGUGUAACUGCCUGGAACUUAUUAAACAGCUUGACUGACAAUUUAUGAGGACAGGCGUGACCCAGCUUCUACUUUUAGGAGUCUGAUGUUACCAUCAUCACUACAAAGCAGAGCAUGACACUCGACAUCUGUAAACUGAACACUAACUGCUGAAUUUAAAAAGGCAAUUUUUCCUCUGUAUUGGAUUGCUGGGGGGUUUUGUUUUGGUUUGUUGUUUUGUUUUGUUUUGUUUUUUUGUCUGGAAGCAAGCGCAGAUUUUGGAAUGACUCAUUAAAAUGGAGGAGGCAGAGAAAAAUGUCCUCCAAUGCCAGAAAAGCACCACAGUAGCAAUUGAGCGAUCUAAGAUGACUGUUCUGAUAAAUACACCACAGAGCAGGCAGAUCUUGCUUCAAAGGAAAAUUUAGAGGAUGCAGCAGCUUUUAAAGAAGCCAAGUGAGUGAUUGGCUGGGUGAAUGGGUGGACAGCAUCUCCAUGUCCUCACUGGCUAAGGGCUCUCACAUCCCCUGCUGUGCCUGCUUGCGGCUCCUUUAAGUGAAAAGAAAAGGGUGAUUGUACAGCUGUAAUCGUGGCCAAAUAAACAGAAAUGCUAUACACACCCAAUCCUUCAUCUUGAAAAGGUAAUUAUAGAUUUCUCUGAAAGGACUCUGGGUAUGUGUGAGCAAGAAUCACGCAAGCAAAAAUGAAAUAUGCAAUGAGGAGCUUAACUCAGAUCUGCCUCUUUCCUAGCUGACUGGUUUCCAUUUUGUGUGUAACCUUAUGUGGCAAUUUGUCUGCAUUUGGACCUCCAGACAGAAAUUUUUUAACAAUCCCCUAUCCAAAAAAUGAAAUCAAGUAACCAGAAGCUAGCCAUUUAGUGAACAGCAUAUUUUUCCCUGUUUCCUAAAGGACUGCCAAAUUACUGUUGUUACAUAACAUCAUGAGCUACAUCCCAAAUUCAUUUAUAAGACUUCUCUCUGCAUUUGUACAUAUUAUGUCAGAGGUUUCUCCUUUGUGGCUAGAGUUUCUGACCAAAGUAGAAGACACUUCUUCAAACUCAAGUAACAAUUCCUUGGGAAUUUCUGUACAAAAAUAAAUACAAGUAUUUUCUAAGAGAGAACUACUAGCUACCCACUAAUCAAAAGUGUGUAAAAAGCUUUCCUUUCCAGUAUUACAGAAAAUAUUUGUGGCUCAGAGAAUGAGGAGAGAAGUCUGGCAGCUCUGAAGAAAAUGGAAUUUACAACACAAAAAGGUGGCUUCUGAAUGAAGAUUAAUUUGUGUGCAUGGUCAGUGAACUCCUGCUGACACGUUAACAGCUUUGGUACCGUGGAUGUUACUUGCAUGCCCUGGGUACCGUACCUCAGCAAACAGAGCUCCUGUCAUAAGUAAGAUCCAUCCCAACCCAGAAACGAGGGGCCAGCCACAGCGAAAGGAGCUGCUCGUGCAGAGCUCACUGCAGGAUAGAGGCCAAAGUGACCUUGCUGGCAAGUGAUGAACUGUCCUGAUAAACACAGCACUGCAGAAAGCCACCUCCAGCCAAACAGCAGCACCAGGAGGUGGAAAACUAAUAUUCUUCCAUUCACCCCCUUCUUUCAUGAAGAUAGAAGGUCAAUAUAUAGACUUUUGUGGGGUUUUUUUUGGUUUUGGUUUUGUUUUUUUUUUUUUUAAAGUUAACACUGCAAAGGAAAAGAGGUUUUCUUCUUCCACCAGCAAGUGUACAGGAGAUAAACAUGCUAUGUUAUUAAGUACACAAAAGACAGGAAGGACGUAAAUGUUUCCAUAGUAACAUCUCAUUGUACAGCCUAGACCAUCAGUAUAGGGUGCUCUCAGAAACUGGGGGUGGGGGGGGGAGCAGUACUCAUGGGCCCCUGUAGCAGGGGAGCAAGGUGGGAGGGUGUACGUAUUGCUGGGGCCAGGAGAGAAAACAGUGAGAUGAAUGGAGAUGUUUGCUCUUUCUUGGAGUGCUAGGAAAGCCACAGCCAGGGAGAAGGGCUGGCAGCUGCUGCAUCAGAAGGGCACUCAACCCCCGUGGCUUUGGGCCCCCACUGAGCCUCAGGGCCCUGGAGAAGGGGCAGAUGGGCUUUUGGCUGGCCCUGAGCCCUGCUGAGGUGACUGGGGAGGAGGGAGCAUGGCCUGCUUUGCAGAAGGAGGAGUGUGAAGGCAAGUCCCCCAGGGGAUUCUUGUGAUAAUUUCUGUCCUUUGAACCUUCCGUCAGAAGGGACAGGAAGCCUUAUCCUGCACUUCAAUGAGCAAAGCAUUUGCGGAGACCAGCAGGAAUUUUUCAUGGAGACAAAGUGCUGGGGGAAACGCAACAGAGGAAUGAGGCAAAGGAGCUAGACAUUUUGAGCAAUUUCAAUGGAGAAUUAUCUACAACCUCUACAUCACAGGCUAAUUCGCAGUGCUUGGUUGGUUCCCUGCUCACGCAGCAUAAGCAGGUAUCUGAAGGAUCUUUCCUGCCAGAUUCUCAUCAUAAGCUCUUUAGAGAUUGCUUUAUAGACGUUCCAUUUUAAAACUAGAUUGAAAAGCAAAUAUACGUGAUUAAGAAUCAGGCUGGGAGGUAUUAGCGUGCAUCUUUUAUUACAUACAAACAGAAAGUAAGUUAGCCAUAUGCUCUGCCUCAUUUGUUUUGGUCUAGUACACCAAAUGGAAUCUCUAAUAAAUCAUUCAUUGCUUACCCA